GAUGAAGAACGUAGCGAAAUGCGAUAAGUAAUGUGAAUUGCAGAAUUCAGUGAAUCAUCGAAUCUUUGAACGCACCUUGCGCCCUUUGGCCAUUCCGAAGGGCAUGCCUGUUUGAGUAUCAUGAACACCUCAACUCUUUAUGGUUUUCCAUGAUGAGCUUGGACUCUGGGGGUUUUGCUGGCUCACAGUCGGCUCCUCUAAAAUAAAUCAGCUUACCAGUGUUUGGUGGGUAUCAUGGGUGUGAUAACUAUCUACGCUUGUGGUUUUUCCACCAGGUAACCUUCAGCAGUGGAGGUUCGCUGGAGCUCAUAGAUGUCUCUCCUCAGUGAGGACAACCCUUUGAACGUUUGAUCUCAAUCAGGUAGGACUACCCGCUGAACUUAAGCAUAUCAAUAAGCGGAGGA
RNAcentral lists this unclassified non-coding RNA (404 nucleotides) under soil metagenome. RNAcentral describes it as "partial contains 5.8S ribosomal RNA, internal transcribed spacer 2, and large subunit ribosomal RNA". The stretch from base 1 to 121 matches the Rfam family "5.8S ribosomal RNA", at positions 35 to 154 of the family's 154-position model. The record is from RNAcentral.